This is a long non-coding RNA of Pseudopipra pipra, 3746 nucleotides long. RefSeq lists it as uncharacterized. The transcript is spliced from 3 exons. The record is from RefSeq and is a predicted model, not a curated record. NCBI's taxonomy places the organism in Eukaryota, Metazoa, Chordata, Aves, Passeriformes, Pipridae.
GGGCCGGCACGGUUCUGACGUGUCGCAGCUGGCUGCUUGCUGCCUGUGCUGCGCGGGUGCCCGCGGGUUAAAUUGUUCCGAGGGUCCCACCUGGGGCGACCUAAAGCUGGGAAUCGUGGGCUCCGAGCGGCGGCGAAAAGCGGCCUCGGUGCCCUCCGAGAAGCGGAGUAUACGGAGGGAGGGAUUUGGAGAGUUCUGCUUCGCAGAUCCUGAAACGUUCAGUGCUCCAGAGAGAUAAAGCAGCCGUCAAAGUGCACACGCUGUCUUCAGCAGUAUCGGCUUUCAAGUUCUAAUCCAGUAAAUAGAAUCACAGAAUAAUAGAAUGUUAAGGCAUUGGAAAGAAUCUUAAAGAUCAUCUAGUCUCAACGCCCCCUGCCAUGGGCAGAGACACCUCCCACUAGGUAAGGUUGCUCAAGGCCUUGUCCGACUUGGCCUUGAACACUGCCAGGGUUGGGGUAUCCGCAACCUCCUGGGCAACCUGUUUCAGUGUCUCACCACCUCACAGUAAAAAAUUUCUUCCUAAUAUCUAAACUAAAUUUCCCCUCUUUCAAUUUGUACCCUUUAUAACUUGUACUGUCACUACAAUUCCUGAUGCAUAGUCCCUCUCCAGCUUCCCUGUAAGCCCCCUUCAGAUGCUGGAAGGUCUCCACACAACCUUCACUUUUCCAGACUGGACAGCCCCAACUUUCUCAGCCUUUCCCAGUUUACAGAUUCACAGGAAUAACACAAAAAUAACCCCCAUUCUUAUUAUAUUAAUGUUAAGUUCUGUGGCAAAUGAGAUGGACUAGGGAAAAGAAAAUUUGGGUCCAAUCUCCCAGGCAGGAGCAUGAUCUUGUAAUCUGGAGUAGAUCUGGAGUCCCAUUUUGCUCCCCUGGAAAAGGAGUCUUAUGUAAGCUUGUUAAACCUGUGAUUUUCACCUUCAGCACUGCGUAAGGAACCUGGGCAUCAGUUUGAGGACUGUGGAUUUCACAGGACAGAGAAAUAGGUGGAAGCAACUGCAGAAAGACUGAAGAAACUUCCAAAGUAGAAUGAAUUCAGAUGUCUGUGUUUCUUCUUCUCUGCUCAGUAGCUGAGUCAAGUUUCAGAUCUUUUCUCCUGAGAAGCAGCCUUGAAGAACUCUGGCACCUGCAAAAAACACUGAGUGGCAGUCAAGUAUACUGACACAGUUUAAUCACACAGUUUCAGUGUGAUUUGUGCAAAGUCAUGCUGUGGAGGAAAAAAUCACCAGACCUGAAAACUGCUUGAAUUUAUCCUUUUUUUCAAGGUUCAGUGCAUUUUCUAACCUCUGUUCUCCUGUUUUCAAAACUGCAGUGAACAAGAAGUGAGCUUGUUUGAGUCUAAAAAGUCAGCGUGCUACUGUCUGUGCUCAUAUUAAUUGAUUACAUAAAAGCCAAAACACAUCCAAACAGUACACACCAAGAAAAUAACACAUUCCAGUAAAAGUUCUAGAUGAAACCCAAAUUUAGGUGCACCCAAAAUUAAGUAUUUACUGUACUUCCACAUUUACAGCUUCACAGAGAAACAGACUGAGAGCUGCUGCAGUACAGGGAGUUGGCCAUCAUGGAAUCAGAAGGGAGACUAUUGGGAAAGUUGUGACCCCAGCUACCAUCUGAAAGACCCCACAAUGCACUCUUGUGGAGUCAGUUCUAAGUCUUACUGAAGAGAAGAAUUUGUGAAUCUGUAUUCAUGAAAACACAGUCCUUUGAUUUUCAAUGUCUUUUUAAAAUAUUUGUAAGUAAGAGCGUCAGACAGAUAAGAAGUCUUUUCCUUUUUUUUUUUAAUUCAGUGGGGCCGCCCACGUUGCACUGCCCAAGACAAGACUUACGCAGGCAUGGACCUUCUGCUCUUCCUGUAACACACAAGAGGGAGCGCUUGGUCACCACAACUUUCAUAGAACCACAGGGUCAUAGAACGGUUUGGCUUGAAUGGCAACUUUAAAGGUCAUUUAGUCCACCCCCUGGCAUUAAGCAGGGACAUAUUCAACUAAAUCAGGUUGCUCGGAGCCCUGUCCAACCUGACCUUGAGUGUUUCCAGAGAUGGGGCACCUCCCAGUUCUCUAGGCAACCUAUGCCAGUGUUUCACCACCUUCAUUGUAAAAAUCUUCUUUCUUAUUUAUAGUCUAAAUCUACCCUCUUUCAGUUUAAAAUCAUUACCCCUUUCCUUUGCUCUUCUCAGUUUUUGGUUAAAGUAUAUCCUGUGCCUAGGUUUUUCUUACUUUAAAAUGAACUCUUUCAAUUCAGUGAUAAAUGGACAUCAGAAAGCUAAAAAAGUUUAAAGUAAAAUAGUGGCAAUCUCAACCUUACAUUAUGUUGACAUAGCUCAACUGAAUGAGCUACAAUACCCAAGGCUUCCCCAUUGGUUAGGCUUACAGUUCAGCAGGGAAGCCACACUUCAGAUUCCAGGACUCUCCAGCAGUGAGGCUUACAAGCACUUCUGAGCGGGGAGCUGCAAAAGCUGCUCCAUAGGAAAUGAAGAAAUGUUACUCCAUGAGAAAUGUCUGAUAUUUCUGUAUUCUGUGUUCUGACAUCCAUGGCAAAUGUAACCUGCUCUCAGCAAUCUCAUCUUUGGUUAACAUCAACAGCUCCCAAUCGUCUCCAGAGACAGGUGCCUUCAUCAGCCCUGUUACACAGCAUACAGAGCUGGAGUGAGACAGUAGGACCAUCCCAAUGGUUUCAGUUUCAUUAGGACUUAGAGCGCUCAGGGUAUGUGAAAGACCAGUUCCUGUUUGUUUUCUGUCUAAAAAACAGACUGGACUUCAGUGGACUUUGUGAAGAGGAGAGAUCGGGGAGGGGUGAAAAACCCCAGGAAGAAACAGACAAUGAAAGGCUGACUGCACUGAAGUAGAUAGGAAAAUCAAAGGAUGUCCUGGCCAGAUUUUACAUGAAGAAUCUGAAGAUUCCAGACAUCCUUCUGAAAGCACUCCUCCCAGUGGCUCACCUUUUGUUUUGGUUUAUUUUUUUUUCUGAAGUCAUGGCUGAAUUUUGAUAAUCCUGUUACACUUUACCUAAUUAAAGAAAGACUUGUUCUUUCAUAUGUGCACUUUUAUUCACUUAGAUUUAUGGUAUUUACAAUAUGCUAUAAAACAUCCAUGCUGAUUUGGGCUGUGAUGGAGUUAAUUUUCUUCACAGUAUCUAGUAUGGGGAUGGGUUUGGGACUUGUCCUGGAAACUGUGUUGAUAAUUCAGGAAUGUUUUCCUUGCUGCUGAGCAGUACUUAUGCAAAGCCAAGGCCUUUUCUGCUCUUCACUCCACCCCAGCAGCAAGUGGAUUGGGGGCACACAAGGAGCUGGUAAGGGGACACAGCCAGAACAGCUGACCCCAGCUGACCCAAGGGGUAUUCCAUACUAUAUGGCGUCAUGCUCAGCUUAUAAAGCUGGGGGAUGAAGAAGGAAGAGAGGGAUAUUUAGAGAGAUAGCAUUUGUAGUCCCAAGUCACCCUUAUCCAUGAUGAAGCUUGGCUUUCCUGGAGCUGGCUGAACACCUGCCUGCCCAUGGGAAGGAGUGAAUUAUUUCCUUGUUUUGCUUUGCUUGCAUGUGUGGCUUUUGCUUUGCCUAUUAGACUGUCUGUAUCUCAAGCCACAAGCUUUCUUGCUUUUACCCUUCCAAUUCUCUCCCUUAUCGCAUUUGGUGGGAGGAAACAAGCGGCUAUAGGGGACUGAGUGGCCACUUGGGGUUAAACCAUGACAACACUUACUAUCUGUACACUUAUACGUAGUCGGUCUAAUAAAAUACAUCGCUCUGUACAGAAA